UACGUAGGGUGCGAGCGUUAAUCGGAAUUACUGGGCGUAAAGCGUGCGCAGGCGGUUCGUUAAGUCAGAUGUGAAAGCCCCGGGCUCAACCUGGGAACUGCAUUUGAAACUGGCGGGCUUGAGUGUGGCAGAGGGGGGUGGAAUUCCGCGUGUAGCAGUGAAAUGCGUAGAGAUGCGGAGGAACACCGAUGGCGAAGGCAGCCCCCUGGGCCAACACUGACGCUCAUGCACGAAAGCGUGGGGAGCAAACAGG
RNAcentral lists this ribosomal RNA (253 nucleotides) under uncultured bacterium. Its description in RNAcentral is "partial 16S ribosomal RNA". It matches the Rfam family "Bacterial small subunit ribosomal RNA", at positions 524 to 776 of the family's 1533-position model. The record is from RNAcentral.